Molecule: small nuclear RNA, 107 nt
Organism: Erinaceus europaeus (western European hedgehog)
Lineage: Eukaryota; Metazoa; Chordata; Mammalia; Eulipotyphla; Erinaceidae
Source: Ensembl
CUGCUCACUUCAGCGGUACUUACACUAAAAUUGGAACAUACAGAGAAGAUUAACAUGGCCCCUGCACAAGGAUGAAAACACAAAUUUGUCAAGUAUUCCUUAUUAAA